This 253-nucleotide ribosomal RNA is filed under the name uncultured bacterium. Its description in RNAcentral is "partial 16S ribosomal RNA". It matches the Rfam family "Bacterial small subunit ribosomal RNA", at positions 524 to 776 of the family's 1533-position model. The record is from RNAcentral.
UACGAAGGUCCCGAGCGUUGUUCGGAAUUACUGGGCGUAAAGGGAGCGUAGGCGGCGUGGAAAGUCAGAUGUGAAAUCUCAGGGCUCAACCCUGAAACUGCAUCCGAUACUACCGUGCUAGAGGACUGGAGAGGUAGAUGGAAUUCACGGUGUAGCAGUGAAAUGCGUAGAUAUCGUGAGGAAGGCCAAAGGCGAAGGCAAUCUACUGGACAGUUCCUGACGCUGAGGCUCGAAGGUCAGGGGAGCGAAGGGG